This is a long non-coding RNA of Canis lupus familiaris (dog), 1041 nucleotides long. RefSeq lists it as uncharacterized. The transcript is spliced from 3 exons. NCBI's taxonomy places the organism in Eukaryota, Metazoa, Chordata, Mammalia, Carnivora, Canidae. The record is from RefSeq and is a predicted model, not a curated record.
AACAACUGGCAUAGAACUCAUUUUACUUAUUACAUUGUGAGCCCUUUAAGGUUAGAGAUAUGUCUUUUCUGUCUCAGGCACCUCAAGUUUUAAUAUGAUGUUUGGAACAAAAGAGCUCAACAAAUGUAAAUUUCAAAUUCAGAGGAAAAAAAAGACGUGACUCAAUCUUCAGGAAAAAUUAUUUUGCAUUUAGAAUGUUAUAAAUCAAGUACAGCUAAACUAAGAAAGCAAUGCAGUAGAUUUACAUAUGAGGACCCUGCCGCACAUUUACAAUUAUGGAUCAUCCACAUCCAAGUAAAUACACCAGAGUUUUCCUAAGAUGGGCAGAACAAACUCCACAACAAAGUUAAGAGAAGAAACUGUAUCUGAAUGUUUCAGAAGGAGUCAGAAGUGGCCCAAGGAAAAUUUGAAUAUUGAAAAUCUCCAAAAUUAACUGCCAACUGUUGAAGGGAAUCAAAACACAUGGUAUUAAUAUCUGCCACUCUAUAUACUUUGGACAACAUGGCUGAUAAUAUUGAAAUCCAAUGAUGGUAAAACUGGAACCAUUUUAACAAAACAAAACAAGAGAGAGAUCAGAAAACCAGUGUUAAAAGCCAGCCCAGAAGAUAUUAUGGCUUCUUUGAGUACCUGGUCAAGUUGCCCAAGGUAAUAAUUAACUAGCAGUAGACACACCAUUAGUUUUCCUCGAAAACAGAAGCCAUAGAAGUGGGGCUCUUGAAACUUUAACUAUGGAGAGGUAUGAAGGCAUAAAGGUUUUGAAAACAUUCCCUGUAAUAUAAAUGGGGAUCCUUUCGCCAUCUUUAGGAUUACUUCAAUGAAACCAUUAAAAGAAAAGAAUAAAGGAUGGGACCUUAUGAGAAGUAAGCUCUAAAUAUAUCUGUGGCCUACAAAACAAGGAAAGGUAUGAGUUAUGAAGCCUUGGAAAGAAAAGACCAAAAUAAGUGACAAUAAAGAUGAAAGACUAGAAGAAAAGGGAAAAGUGAGGAGAAAGAGGAGCUUAAAAAGGAGAAACAAAAGACUCAGGCAGAGGAAGGAAGAAAU